AUCAUCUUCAACACCAACAUGUUCGCUGUAGCUCUGCUGCUGUUGGUUGCUGGUUUCUGUGUGAAGUGUGAACAGCUGACACAGCCAGCCUCUGUGACUGUUCAGCCAGGUCAACAUCUGACCAUCAGCUGUCAGGUCUCUUAUUCUAUCAGCACCUACUGGACAGUUUGGAUCAGACAGACUGUUGGGAAAGGACUGGAGUGGAUUGGUGGAUCUGGAAUUGGACAUAUCACACUGUACAAAGAUUCACUAAAUAACAAGUUCAGCAUCACUUUAGAUGGCUCCAGUAAAACGGUGACCUUAAAUGGACAGAAUAUGCAGCCUGAAGACUCUGCUGUGUAUUACUGCGCCAGAAAGGACCACAGCUGCACAAACAGGCAGCAGAGCUGUACAAAGACCCCUCAGAGCCUGAGCAUAUGUACUAAUAAUUGA
Girardinichthys multiradiatus is the source of this 432-nucleotide non-coding RNA. The record is from the annotation of a RefSeq genome assembly. Lineage: Eukaryota; Metazoa; Chordata; Actinopteri; Cyprinodontiformes; Goodeidae.